Centruroides sculpturatus (bark scorpion) is the source of this 703-nucleotide long non-coding RNA. RefSeq lists it as uncharacterized. The transcript has 3 exons. Lineage: Eukaryota; Metazoa; Arthropoda; Arachnida; Scorpiones; Buthidae. The record is from RefSeq and is a predicted model, not a curated record.
CUGCAAGUUUCGCUUUUGUCUGCAUUGUUAGAUUCCACUUUCCUUUUACGAGUUUUCACAUUUAGUGUAUUUUAAUAAUGUUGUAUACGAAUGACAUUAUCAUUCUACUGAUAACUGUGUUUUUUUAACUUAUUUAAUGGAAGUUCUCUAAAUGACAAAGUAAUGUUCAGCACGUCAGUCAGCUUGUUCGUCAUUUCAAUGUUUGUAAUAACAAAGUAUGUUCAUGCAUCAUUCAAUACACUCGAAACACACAGAUUUCUUCUGUUGAUUACCGUAGCUACGACAAUUUCGUGGAUUUUGGAAUUAACCAGAUGGUUGAUAAGAAAGAUAUUCAACGUGGAGCAAGGGAAUCAGAACAGACAUUUCAACCAUUAUUUGCUUUUCGUUGAAAGUGUUUUGUUUUCCAUUAUCUUAAAAUUGGCAGAUUCGUACUUUGUGGAAUAUUUGAAAGGAGAAGAUUACGAAAUAGAGAAGAACGACGCUUCUUUGUUACAAUAUUGUGCCCAGAAUCAUGGACAAGAUUCAUUAAUCGACGUUUUGUGGUAUUCGGAAGAUUAAUUUGAACUGUUUUAAUCUCCGUAUUUAAUCACGUUACCAUACAGACAAUACAUAAAAUUCAAUGACCAAUUUUUUCUCUGUAAAUUUUGAUUGCAGAUAAAUUAUAUUUGUGUACUUUCAUGUUGCUAUAAUUUCUAUUUUAUUC